RNAcentral lists this unclassified non-coding RNA (250 nucleotides) under plant metagenome. RNAcentral's name for it is "partial contains small subunit ribosomal RNA, internal transcribed spacer 1, and 5.8S ribosomal RNA". The stretch from base 176 to 250 matches the Rfam family "5.8S ribosomal RNA", at positions 1 to 61 of the family's 154-position model. The record is from RNAcentral.
GUAGGUGAACCUGCGGAAGGAUCAUUACCGAGUGAGGGCCCCCGGGCUCGACCUCCAACCCUUUGUCGUUACAACCACUGUUGCCUCGGGGGCGACCCGGCCUCCGCGUCGGGGCCCCCGGUGGGCCGAUUACAAACACUGCGUCUUUGCGUCCGAGGAAAAGUAAAUCAAUUAAAACUUUCAACAACGGAUCUCUUGGUUCUGGCAUCGAUGAAGAACGCAGCAUCUGACUGACUUCAGGUUGCGGAAU